CUGGCCGUAAACGAUGGGUACUAGGUGUAGGAGGUAUCGACCCCUUCUGUGCCGCAGUUAACGCAAUAAGUACCCCGCCUGGGGAGUACGACCGCAAGGUUGAAACUCAAAGGAAUUGACGGGGGCCCGCACAAGCGGUGGAGUAUGUGGUUUAAUUCGACGCAACGCGAAGAACCUUACCAGGUCUUGACAUUGAUGGACAGAACUAGAGAUAGUUCCUCUUCUUCGGAAGCCAGAAAACAGGUGG
RNAcentral lists this ribosomal RNA (247 nucleotides) under uncultured bacterium. RNAcentral describes it as "partial 16S ribosomal RNA". It matches the Rfam family "Bacterial small subunit ribosomal RNA", at positions 796 to 1041 of the family's 1533-position model. The record is from RNAcentral.